GCCCCUAGUUAGUUGUUCUUGUCUUUUUUCUAUAUUGAAGAGUCCAGGUCUACUUAGUCUGUUCUCACAGAUAAGCGUUCACUGCUGGAGGAAUCCAUUCUACUUAACUAGUAGGAAAUGAAGGAUAUUUUUUUCAGGGGAAAUCUCCCAACAUCUCAUUGCCAUGGCCACAGGCCCAAGCAGUUCCCAUUUCCUUUUUCUUCAGGCUUCAUGGAGUAGUUCCCACAGGAAGGGCACCAUGGCACGCAAGCAGAAGGUCCAACACCAUAUGCAGAAUUUUCAGAAGCUCAGGAUAAUAUCACAGUGUCACUCAGGAUCCAGCACAUCUGGUCCUUCAGCCAUGGCACAUCAUCUCUCAAGGGACAGCAGCUGUGAUAAUCAUGAAGACUGCUGUCAGUCACCAGCACUACAAAGAAAUCAUCCUUCUUCAUAAGAAACAAGGAAUUGAUCUAUCCUCCUCUACGACUAGAAAGC
RNAcentral lists this long non-coding RNA (474 nucleotides) under Phasianus colchicus (ring-necked pheasant). RNAcentral describes it as "lncRNA (ENSPCLG00000000135.1)". Lineage: Eukaryota; Metazoa; Chordata; Aves; Galliformes; Phasianidae. The record is from RNAcentral.